This 675-nucleotide long non-coding RNA is filed under the name Nicotiana benthamiana. RNAcentral describes it as "long non-coding RNA (NBEN_LNC030555)". Lineage: Eukaryota; Viridiplantae; Streptophyta; Magnoliopsida; Solanales; Solanaceae. The record is from RNAcentral.
AAACUCAUACGAACAUGGUACAGACAGAUUCACACAAAGAAAAGAAAAAGAAGAAGAGUCAGAAGUUAUUUUGAGAUUUUUCGGAAACCCUAAAUUUGAAGCAAACUAAUUUUGAAAAGAAAAUUGGGGAAAAGCUUUAAAACGUUCAAUAUAGCACAGAUACACCACAAGUAAAUAAAAGAGGAAGGAACCUCGAAUAGUUUUAGGGUUUCUCAAAAACCCAAGAAAUGAGAAGGCUUGGAAGAGGUGUGGUCUUGAGUCAAAGAUGGCCAUGGCUAGGCUUCUAAAGCUCGAAUACAUCGGAGACAUGCCGGAGAGGCCAUACAACCACAGAUCUGAGAAGAUCUGAACGAACGCCAUCGAGGUCAGACGUCAAAAUCUCGAACACGCAUGGCUUAGGAGUGAAGGAAGGUGAGCACGGGUCGUCCAUGGCCUGAAAAGCCAUGGACUCCGGCGAGAUAAUGGUCGGAGAAGACAAGGGAGGCGAUUAGGGUUUUGAGUUCUUGAGAGCGUUUUCAGAUAGAAGGCGGCUGUCUAAAAGAAAUGAGGGUUAGGGUUGGGGGUUGGUAGAAUAAAAAAGAAAAAGGGUCGUUUGUGGUUAUUGAUCAAAAAGAUCAACGACCUGGAUUAAAGGGAUUCUAGGCGGGUCAGAUUAAACUGGGUUUGGGACAAGAC